Molecule: ribosomal RNA, 1325 nt
Filed under: Vibrio sp. 2E6
Lineage: Bacteria; Pseudomonadati; Pseudomonadota; Gammaproteobacteria; Vibrionales; Vibrionaceae
Description: bacterial SSU rRNA
Rfam family: Bacterial small subunit ribosomal RNA
Source: RNAcentral
GAGCGGCGGACGGGUGAGUAAUGCCUAGGAAAUUGCCCUGAUGUGGGGGAUAACCAUUGGAAACGAUGGCUAAUACCGCAUAAUGCCUACGGGCCAAAGAGGGGGACCUUCGGGCCUCUCGCGUCAGGAUAUGCCUAGGUGGGAUUAGCUAGUUGGUGAGGUAAUGGCUCACCAAGGCGACGAUCCCUAGCUGGUCUGAGAGGAUGAUCAGCCACACUGGAACUGAGACACGGUCCAGACUCCUACGGGAGGCAGCAGUGGGGAAUAUUGCACAAUGGGCGCAAGCCUGAUGCAGCCAUGCCGCGUGUGUGAAGAAGGCCUUCGGGUUGUAAAGCACUUUCAGUCGUGAGGAAGGUGGUGUAGUUAAUAGCAGUAUCAUUUGACGUUAGCGACAGAAGAAGCACCGGCUAACUCCGUGCCAGCAGCCGCGGUAAUACGGAGGGUGCGAGCGUUAAUCGGAAUUACUGGGCGUAAAGCGCAUGCAGGUGGUUUGUUAAGUCAGAUGUGAAAGCCCGGGGCUCAACCUCGGAAUAGCAUUUGAAACUGGCAGACUAGAGUACUGUAGAGGGGGGUAGAAUUUCAGGUGUAGCGGUGAAAUGCGUAGAGAUCUGAAGGAAUACCGGUGGCGAAGGCGGCCCCCUGGACAGAUACUGACACUCAGAUGCGAAAGCGUGGGGAGCAAACAGGAUUAGAUACCCUGGUAGUCCACGCCGUAAACGAUGUCUACUUGGAGGUUGUGGCCUUGAGCCGUGGCUUUCGGAGCUAACGCGUUAAGUAGACCGCCUGGGGAGUACGGUCGCAAGAUUAAAACUCAAAUGAAUUGACGGGGGCCCGCACAAGCGGUGGAGCAUGUGGUUUAAUUCGAUGCAACGCGAAGAACCUUACCUACUCUUGACAUCCAGAGAACUUUUCAGAGAUGGAUUGGUGCCUUCGGGAACUCUGAGACAGGUGCUGCAUGGCUGUCGUCAGCUCGUGUUGUGAAAUGUUGGGUUAAGUCCCGCAACGAGCGCAACCCUUAUCCUUGUUUGCCAGCGAGUAAUGUCGGGAACUCCAGGGAGACUGCCGGUGAUAAACCGGAGGAAGGUGGGGACGACGUCAAGUCAUCAUGGCCCUUACGAGUAGGGCUACACACGUGCUACAAUGGCGCAUACAGAGGGCAGCAAGCUAGCGAUAGUGAGCGAAUCCCAAAAAGUGCGUCGUAGUCCGGAUUGGAGUCUGCAACUCGACUCCAUGAAGUCGGAAUCGCUAGUAAUCGUGGAUCAGAAUGCCACGGUGAAUACGUUCCCGGGCCUUGUACACACCGCCCGUCACACCAUGGGAGUGGG